This is a non-coding RNA of Bombyx mori (domestic silkworm), 84 nucleotides long. Lineage: Eukaryota; Metazoa; Arthropoda; Insecta; Lepidoptera; Bombycidae. The record is from Rfam.
UUAACUCAAAUUUGUAUGGAGUUGGAAUGCUUGCGUACGUUUGCCGCUAGGGGCGCUGUUACAACUGCAUACAAAUUUGAGUUA